GGUGAUGCUGCAUCUGUGGGAUGGUGUGGUGCCGGUUAAUUUCUGCUAUGUAGGUUGUUUGGGUUAGCUCGUGGAAAACCAUGGGGUGCAAUGAGAUGUGGUUUUGCACGCCUCGUGAUCUGGGGGGCCUGGCCCUUACUAGUCCAUUCAUGUUCAGAACUGAACUGGAUCAAACCGCUGUUUGUUCCACAAAACACAAAUGAUAAUAGUGAUGGUGUGCUGUGCGGCAAUUGAAUGAGGCACCCAGCUUAUUAUCCUCUUAAGGGCCUGUUUGGCAACCAAGUGUUAAAAUUUAACACCUGUCACAUCGGAUGUUUGGAUGCUAAUUAGGAGUAUUAAAUAUAGGCUAAUUACAAAACUAAUUGCACAGAUGAAGUGUAAUUCACGAGACGAAUCUAUUAAGCCUAAUUAGUCCAUGAUUUGACAAUGUGGUGCUACAGUAACCAAUUGCUAAUGAUGGAUUAAUUAGGCUUAAUAGAUUCGUCUCGCGGAUUAGCACAGGGUUCUGCAAUUAGUUUUAUAAUUAGCUCAUAUUUAGUUCUCCUAAUUAGCAUCCGAACAUCCGAUGUGACACUGUUAAAGUUUAACACCUCGUAUCCAAACACCCCCUAAGAUUUUUUUUUUCCUGGGGUCCUUGUGUUCAUGCAUCCUUCUGCGUGGCCGUCAGGAACCAUUUUAGCCACUGUGCACGCUUUACUUUUCUGCUAAAAUGAAUCACUGCCAGUCCGGCUCAAUUUUGAGAGCUGCUGCCAUGCUCUCAAGUUGUUCGUCAGAAUUGUGCCUGGCAUAAUCUCUUGGACUUUGUUAAUGGUUGAGAUGGUUUCUGAUGUUAG
RNAcentral lists this long non-coding RNA (833 nucleotides) under Setaria italica (foxtail millet). Its description in RNAcentral is "long non-coding RNA (SITA_LNC000866)". The record is from RNAcentral. Lineage: Eukaryota; Viridiplantae; Streptophyta; Magnoliopsida; Poales; Poaceae.